This 253-nucleotide ribosomal RNA is filed under the name uncultured bacterium. Its description in RNAcentral is "partial 16S ribosomal RNA". It matches the Rfam family "Bacterial small subunit ribosomal RNA", at positions 524 to 776 of the family's 1533-position model. The record is from RNAcentral.
UACAGAGGUCCCAAGCGUUGUUCGGAUUCACUGGGCGUAAAGGGUGCGUAGGUGGUGAGGUAAGUCGGAUGUGAAAUCUCCGAGCUCAACUCGGAAAUGGCAUUGGAAACUACCUUGCUAGAGGGUUGGAGGGGGGACUGGAAUACUUGGUGUAGCAGUGAAAUGCGUAGAUAUCAAGUGGAACACCAGUGGCGAAGGCGAGUCCCUGGACAACUCCUGACACUGAGGCACGAAAGCUAGGGGAGCAAGCAGG